CGCAUGAAUAAUCGCGCGUGGAUGACGGUACCGUAAGAAGAAGCACCGGCUAACUACGUGCCAGCAGCCGCGGUAAUACGUAGGGUGCAAGCGUUAAUCGGAAUUACUGGGCGUAAAGGGUGCGCAGGCGGCCCCGCAUGUCAGGCGUGAAAUCCCCCGGGCUCAACUUGGGAAUGGCGCUUGAAACUAUGGGGCUGGAGUGUGGCAGAGGGAGGUGGAAUUCCAGGUGUAGCGGUGAAAUGCGUAGAGAUCUGGAGGAACACCGAUGGCGAAGGCAGCCUCCUGGGCCAACACUGACGCUCAUGCACGAAAGCGUGGGGAGCAAACAGGAUUAGAUACCCUGGUAGUCCACGCCCUAAACGAUGACGACUAGUUGUUGGGGGAGUUAAAUCCCUUAGUAACGCAGCUAACGCGUGAAGUCGUCCGCCUGGGGAAUACGGUCGCAAGAUUA
Molecule: ribosomal RNA, 451 nt
Filed under: uncultured Pseudomonadota bacterium
Lineage: Bacteria; Pseudomonadati; Pseudomonadota
Description: bacterial SSU rRNA
Rfam family: Bacterial small subunit ribosomal RNA
Source: RNAcentral